RNAcentral lists this ribosomal RNA (314 nucleotides) under uncultured Cortinarius. RNAcentral describes it as "eukaryotic LSU rRNA". The stretch from base 1 to 71 matches the Rfam family "5.8S ribosomal RNA", at positions 84 to 154 of the family's 154-position model. Lineage: Eukaryota; Fungi; Basidiomycota; Agaricomycetes; Agaricales; Cortinariaceae. The record is from RNAcentral.
GUGAGUCAUCGAAUCUUUGAACGCACCUUGCGCUCCUUGGUAUUCCGAGGAGCAUGCCUGUUUGAGUGUCAUUAAUAUAUCAACCUUCUCUUGUUGAGUGGUUGGAUGUGGGGGUUUGCUGGCCUCUUAAAAGGUUUUAGCUCUCCUAAAAUGCAUUAGCAGAACAAUCCUGUUCAUUGGUGUGAUAACUAUCUACGCUAUUGAAUGUGAAGGGCGGUUUGGCUUUCUAACAGUCUUUGGACAAUAUCAUCAUUAAUGUGACCUCAAAUCAGGUAGGACUACCCGCUGAACUUAAGCAUAUCAAUAAGCGGAGG